GACGAACCGUGCAAACGUUAUUCGGAAUCACUGGGCAUAAAGGGCGCGUAGGCGGCUUCAUAAGUCAGGGGUGAAAUCCGGCAGCUUAACUGUCGCAGUGCCUUUGAUACUGUGGAGCUCGAGGGAGGUAGGGGUCUGUGGAACUUCCGGUGGAGCGGUGAAAUGCGUUGAUAUCGGAAGGAACGCCGGUGGCGAAAGCGACGGACUGGAUCUCUUCUGACGCUGAGGCGCGAAAGCCAGGGGAGCGAACGGG
RNAcentral lists this ribosomal RNA (253 nucleotides) under uncultured bacterium. RNAcentral's name for it is "partial 16S ribosomal RNA". It matches the Rfam family "Bacterial small subunit ribosomal RNA", at positions 524 to 776 of the family's 1533-position model. The record is from RNAcentral.